UGGGGAAUUUUGGACAAUGGGGGAAACCCUGAUCCAGCCAUCCCGCGUGUGCGAUGAAGGCUUUCGGGUUGUAAAGUACUUUUGGCAGGAAAGAAACGUCAUGGGUUAAUACCCCGUGAAACUGACGGUACCUGCAGAAUAAGCACCGGCUAACUACGUGCCAGCAGCCGCGGUAAUACGUAGGGUGCAAGCGUUAAUCGGAAUUACUGGGCGUAAAGCGUGCGCAGGCGGUUCGGAAAGAAAGAUGUGAAAUCCCAGAGCUCAACUUUGGAACUGCAUUUUUAACUACCGGGCUAGAGUGUGUCAGAGGGAGGUGGAAUUCCGCGUGUAGCAGUGAAAUGCGUAGAUAUGCGGAGGAACACCGAUGGCGAAGGCAGCCUCCUGGGAUAACACUGACGCUCAUGCACGAAAGCGUGGGGAGCAAACAGG
This 429-nucleotide ribosomal RNA is filed under the name Acidobacteriota bacterium. Its description in RNAcentral is "Acidobacteria bacterium partial 16S ribosomal RNA". It matches the Rfam family "Bacterial small subunit ribosomal RNA", at positions 355 to 776 of the family's 1533-position model. Lineage: Bacteria; Pseudomonadati; Acidobacteriota. The record is from RNAcentral.